AUAUCAGUCAUGCAUAGCAUAUCAAUAAGCGGAGGAAAAGAAACUAACAAGGAUUCCCCUAGUAACGGCGAGUGAAGCGGGAAGAGCUCAAAUUUGAAAUCUUAAAGGGUUUCCCUUUACGAAUUGUAGUUUAAAGAAGUGUUUUCUGUUGAGGUUUUGGUAAAAGUUCUUUGGAAUAGGACAUCAUAGAGGGUGAGAAUCCCGUAUUUGACCUUUACUUUCAACUUUGUGAUACACUUUCAAAGAGUCGGAUUGUUUGGGAAUGCAGUCCAAAAUGGGUGGUAAAUUUCAUCUAAAGCUAAAUAUUGGCGAGAGACCGAUAGCGAACAAGUACCGUGAGGGAAAGAUGAAAAGAACUUUGAAAAGAGAGUUAAACAGUACGUGAAAUUGUCAAAAGGGAAGCGUUUGAUACCAGUGUUGUUUUUCUGAAAAUCAAUUAAAGAACUGUUUAUGCUAAGUUGUUUAGACUUUAUCAGCUAACUGUUUAGUUUUGAGCUUUUCUUUAAUGCACUUUUCAGUUAACAAGUCAACAUCAAUUUCUUUUGCUGUAAAAAAGCUUGAGGAAGGUGGCUUGAGAUUCGUCUUAAGUGUUUAUAGCCUCUUGCCUAUGCAGUCGGAGAGAUUGAGGUCUGCAGCGUAGAUCCUUCGGGGCUAAAUGCAUUUGUGCUAAGUUAUAGCAUUUUAUAGACAACUUGUUGACUAUGAUUUGUCUUGUAGCUUACUCGCUUAUGUUAUUUUACCUACGCUUAGGAUGUUGACGCGCGUGUGUGCGUG
This 774-nucleotide ribosomal RNA is filed under the name uncultured Neocallimastigales. RNAcentral describes it as "partial large subunit ribosomal RNA". It matches the Rfam family "Eukaryotic large subunit ribosomal RNA", at positions 22 to 615 of the family's 3401-position model. Lineage: Eukaryota; Fungi; Neocallimastigomycota; Neocallimastigomycetes; Neocallimastigales. The record is from RNAcentral.